GAGUACAUAGUUAAAAAGAAGUAGAAAAAACAAUGUGAUUUGCAAAAUGUCUUCAUGGUCCUGUCAGCCACAUGCUGAGUGCUGAAAUGGGCCUUUGAAACCACAGGUAGACACGUUUUCUUCAGACAGUGCUAUGUUUUAAAUUUCUUUUUCAAAUCCAAAUGCCUUAUAAUAGGGCAGUAUAUAAACUCCCCUAUGUAUCACAGACCUCAUCAUUACCUACAUUUUACAUAGGGUGUUUCACAUAUUUAUUUAACUGCUCAAAUCCUGAUGAUAUUUCAGUUUAAAACUAUUGUGAUCUAGAAGUUUAUUACUAAGUGGGUAUUGGUUAAUUCUGAAGUUUCUUCCUCAGACUCUAAAAUAAAAAUAUCAAAUAAAAUGUCAUGACAGUAAGAAUCCUUCUGAAUGAGAAUUAUAUUAAAUACAAGUUAUUCCUAUGAAGGGUUGUAGUUUGCAACAGAUUCUGCUGUAAUUCAUUUAAUGAGUAUUUUUGUCAGAUACCUACACGCCAGUCACUAUUCUCAGUCCUGAAAACAAAGUAUGAGCAGCAGACAAAAACCCCUGGCUGCAUAUAACUUAUAAUCUAGUGCAUAUAGACAGAAAAACCAUCAAGUAGAAGAUACAAUAUGUUCCAUGACAUGGAGAAUGGAAAUAGAAAUGAGAUGAGGCAGUGCAGUUUUAAAAGGGUGUUUAGAGGAAGCCAGGGUGGCCACCUUCAGCCCAGCGCGUGAUCCUGGAGACCCGGGAUCCCUGCGUGGAGCCUGCUUCUCCUUCUGCCUGUGUCUCUGCCUCUCUCUCUCUAUGUCUCUCAUGAAUAAGUAAAUAAAAUCUAUUUUAAAAAUAAUAAAAAUAAAAGGGUGUUUACAGAAAGCCUCCUUCGUAAGAAGGAAAAAACUCUGUGGACAUCUGGGGAAGGAUUUCUCUAGGCAAAAGCAAAGACCAUAGGCGGUACUGAGCCAGCAAAUUCAAGGCACAGCAAAUAGGCCAAUAUCCUUAGAAACCACAAAAGAAGAAUGUAUGACAAAAGAGAGAUCAAGUUACUGAAGGAUACCAGAACUAAUAGGUAGAAACUGGGGGCAUUAGGGAUCCCUGGGUGGCGCAGCGGUUUAGUGCCUGCCUUUGGCCCAGGGUGCGAUCCUGGAGACCCGGGAUCGAAUCCCACAUCGGGCUCCCUGCAUGGAGCCUGCUUCUCCCUCUGCCUGUGUCUCUGCCUCUCUCUCUCUGUGUGUGUGACUAUCAUAAAUAAAUAAAAAUUAAAAAAAAAAAAAAGAAACAGGGGCAUUAAGAAUGGAUGCUAGAAGAGACAUAUUUUAAACCUAAAUGAUUUAAAGACUUACACUGCUUUAAAAUGUAGUGAAAUGUUUCCAAAAUUGAAUUUUUCAAAAAGAAGUCAGAUCUAUGAUUCAAUCCCCAAUGGUUGGUUCUGUGGCUAUAAUUUGAACUCUAAAUAUUAAAAACGUACGUUUGAUGUCAGUUCCUCCUGGACACCCAACUGAUUUCUUUGGGGCCUUCAGUAUACUCUAAAAACACUUUGCCUAUCACUGGCCUUAAUCCCUUGUCUCUGGGUCUGAAAGUGAAACUCCUCAAGUAAUAAAGAGUUGCAGGUACACGACAUUGCCAUUGGAUUAUUUUUAGUGAAAGCUUUGCCUCCUUAGACAGAUAUACCAAGGAACUUAACACCAGUGAACUUAACAAGGGGAUACCAUCCCAGGGAUACCGCCAUAUGUAAAAUGAUUUCAUAUAUUGAUUAUCCCAUUUCAAUUAUUUCAUCUACAAGUCCAACAAAAAGAAAAUUAUUUUUUUAAUUUUUUUAUUUUUUUAAAGAUUUAUUUACUUAUUUAUGAUAGACAUAGAGAGAGAGAGAGAGAGAGGCAGAGACACAGGCAGAGGGAGAAGCAGGCUCCAUGCCGGGAACCCGACGCGGGACUCGAUCCCAGAACUCCAGGAUCGUACCCUGGGCCAAAGGCAGGCGCCAAACCGCUGAGCCACCCAGGGAUCCCCAAAAAGAAAAUUCUAAAUAAAAAGAUACAUUUGGAAUUGUAAAUGUGGCAUUCAUCCACAUACAACUAGGAAUGAAAUUAUUUAAUGAAAAAUUUCAAAUUCAACCAACUCUACAAAUAUAAGAUAGUCUGAAGAGAAGGAACAGUCCUGACUUUGCAUUAUAUUUUAGUACUGUUGUUUUCUCAUAAUCCCCAUGCUUUUUUCCUGUCCUGCUAUUCUUCAAGAUUUCCUAAUGAGGAUUGGGGAACAAGUGUAUUUAACAAUCUGUAUUUGCAGGUUGGAAACAAGAAAAUGAAGACUAAUAGUUUCUCUCCUGCUAAUUUGAUUUUCUACAGCUCCUCUCCUACCAGCAUAGGUAAAGGACUUAGUUACUAUUUCUAGCAGAUGGGGCCAAGGAAGAGACAAGCAUCUGUGAUGUCAUGCUUCCCCCGAAAUGGGCCAGCUGCCCUACAGGCCUCCAUUAGAGACUUCCCUAAGAGUAAUAAAUGAGAAGUGAUCAUGAACAGAAUGAGAAAAAAAAAA
RNAcentral lists this long non-coding RNA (2523 nucleotides) under Canis lupus familiaris (dog). RNAcentral's name for it is "lncRNA (ENSCAFG00000054785.1)". The record is from RNAcentral. Lineage: Eukaryota; Metazoa; Chordata; Mammalia; Carnivora; Canidae.